GACGAACGCUGGCGGCGUGCCUAAUACAUGCAAGUAGAACGCACAGUUUAUACCGUAGCUUGCUACACCAUAGACUGUGAGUUGCGAACGGGUGAGUAACGCGUAGCUAACCUGCCUGGUAGCGGGGGAUAACUAUUGGAAACGAUAGCUAAUACCGCAUAAUAUUGAUUAUUGCAUGAUAAUUAAUUGAAAGGUGCAAUUGCACCACUACCAGAUGGACCUGCGUUGUAUUAGCUAGUAGGUGAGGUAACGGCUCACCUAGGCGACGAUACAUAGCCGACCUGGGAGGGUGAUCGGCCACACUGGGACUGAGACACGGCCCAGACUCCUACGGGAGGCAGCAGGAGGGAAUCUUCGGCAAUGGACGAAAGUCUGACCGAGCAACGCCGCGUGAGUGAAGAAGGGUUUCGGAUCGGAAAGCUCUGUUGUAAGAGAAGAACGGGUGUGAGAGUGGAAAGUUCACACUGUGACGGUAUCUUACCAGAAAGGGACGGCUAACUACGUG
Molecule: ribosomal RNA, 505 nt
Filed under: uncultured bacterium
Lineage: Bacteria
Description: partial 16S ribosomal RNA
Rfam family: Bacterial small subunit ribosomal RNA
Source: RNAcentral